CUGCACCCGAGACAUGUGGAAAUUCCAGGGCCAGGGGUCGAACCUGCGCAGCAGCUGUGAUCGCACCAGCAAUCCUUAACCCGCUGCAUCCCCCGGGGAGCUUCCAAAGCUGAAUACUCCUUAGAGGGUAGUUGUGUGGGUUGUGGAAAUCCACGAAGAGCACUUGGAGGAGAACCACCAAAGGCUGUUUAUUUCAGCAGUUGCUCGAGCAAGGGAGUCAGACACAUCGCUUGCGUUCGGCAGAGACUCACAGGCUGGGCGGGGAGGGCUUCGGGGAGGACCAGCGGGAAAGGCGGGAAUAUGCCUGCCUGGCUGGGUGGCUGUUGGCCAGGGAGGCUGGCUGCGGGAUGACUAGAAGAGGGAGGGGCAUCGCCUCUGUGAUUGGCGAGGGGGGCACAAUUUGGCUUUUUUGGAUUGGUCCUAAGCUGGAAGCGGAGGCAAAAGCUCGGGAAGCUGGCAGUUCUCCAUCAAGUCCUGGCCAGCCGGGGCCAGGCGGAGGUCUGCCAUUUGCCUUCCUGGACUGGAAGCUACAGACUGUGGAUCAGUUCUGUUUUAUAUGUGACUGGGCUGUUGUCCAUUUGUCGAUCCAGUCUUGGUGUCAACUCCUGCGAUCCUCACCAAAGAACCCUAGAGCUGGUGGGAUUAUGAUGUCAUUUUAGAGAAAAGGAAACCGAGGCACAGAGAGGUUAAGGGACAUGCCCAAGGUCACCCAGCAUGUGCGUGCGUGCGAGGUUAGCCAGGCCCCGGGCUUCAGAGCUGGGUCCCUUCCCACCUGUAAGGUGAGCGCAGGACUAGAGAUGCCACCUUAAACUCCAGCCUGAGCUCUGCUUGCUCCUGGCUUUAUGACCCAGGGCAGGGAACCCAGGCAUCCUGCCUCCUCCACAGGGCUGCUUGCAAAGUGCCAGUUCCAUGGGCACAUACUGAGUACUUCCUGUAUGCUGCAAUGAUUAUUCACCAUAUGCCAGGCCCCAUUCUAUGCACCUGACAUUCUGUAAAUUCACAUAAUCCUUAGGGUGCCCAAGAGCAGGUAAGGAUCUGAAACUUGGCCAAGUUCACAAGCAGGAUCCUGUGGGAUCCGGGCCACCGAGGGUCAGAGUCCCUAUUUUAUUUUACUUUUAACAAAAUGUUUUGGCCACACCCAAGUUCCCGGGCCAGGGACUGAACCUGUGCCACAGCAGUGACCACACCGAAUCCUUAACCACUAGGCCACCAGGGAUCUCCCAGAGUCUGUGUUUUAAUCCCUACACUUCCUGCCUCUCAGGUGAAGCAGCAGCCGUGAACACAUAGCCGCGGGGGCAUCGGGGUGGCACAAAUCCUCAGCCAAGGCCUGAUAAGGUGGGGUGCUUCUCCUUGGGCUUCUCCUGCAUGGGCUUCUGCAAUGAGGGGCCCUGGAAAUGGGGGACCAUGGAGAGAAAGAGCCACCCCCUCCGUGGAGGGACAACCCUCACAGAAUUAGGCGGACAGGCAUCUGAGGGCUUUGCUGCCGUAGGGCUGGGGUGGAACCUCCCUCCAAGGGAAGAGGCCUGUGGCCACCCCUGCCCCCAGGUUCCCUGCUGGAUCACAAGCACCUGGCCAAGGGGAGCCUCUAGAAGAUGCCACCUGCAGGGCCCCUCGGCAGUCCCUGGCUUUCCAACCUCAGGGCCUUCCUUCCCAGCUCCUAUUCGUCAUCCCUCUCUCCACGUCCCCAAGUUUGCAUGUCUGCGUGUUGCAUCAUUUGGCCAAGGUGGUGACACAUCCCGGAAUCAUGUUUAUUCU
Molecule: long non-coding RNA, 1755 nt
Filed under: Sus scrofa (pig)
Lineage: Eukaryota; Metazoa; Chordata; Mammalia; Artiodactyla; Suidae
Description: lncRNA (ENSSSCG00015072235.1)
Source: RNAcentral